Gallus gallus (chicken) is the source of this 820-nucleotide long non-coding RNA. RefSeq lists it as uncharacterized. The transcript is spliced from 5 exons. The record is from RefSeq and is a predicted model, not a curated record. Lineage: Eukaryota; Metazoa; Chordata; Aves; Galliformes; Phasianidae.
AAUCCAGGAACAAGGAAGGCUGGGGCACGCUCUACUGUCAGCCCAGUAUACGCAGUAGAGGGUUGUGAGGUCACAGUCCAUUGCCUGGAGAUGUCACACAUUGUGACUUCAUGGCAUCAAAGUUUAUUGCUCAGAUCUCUCACCCUUGGGUAGCCUGACAGUCCCACAGCACUCCAUCUAGCACCAACACUGCACCUCUACACACCCACUGGAGCUACUGUGGUGUCGAUGAUGGUUUUUCUCAGCAGACACCCAGACACUAGUUAUCUCUGGAAUUAGAUGCCUCCUAGGAGAUGCAACAGAACUUCAGACUACCACACAGCACCAGAUAGUAAAGAGUACCAGGUGGCAGCUAUGUAACUUCACCAUGGAUGCCGAUUGUCUGUAUGGCCAAGUAUUUCUCUGCAGACACUAAUGAACAGGCUGUCCAAAGGCUCACUAGCGGUCUACUAACAGCAACUUGUUAGUUCCUUUGAACAAGAGGAGUCUGAUUCUGACCUCACUCACAGGAAAAUUAAUUGCAAAGGCAGUGAACAGUAUCUAAAAACUCAAUGAUAGAAUUUGUAAAGGAAGGUGUGGAAUGCUUAUGCAGUUAAGCUAACAUGAAUGGGACCUGUAAAACUAUGUUAGAGAUGCCUUCUAUGAUUUUGGAUCCUAACAUCAUCCCUUAUUGCAUGUAACACCAUGAGCGAUUCAGUCUCUCUGAGUCAAUGCAGUGCUCUCAUUCUAAUGUUUUUAUACAAAAGUGGGACAAAGGAUAUCACUCUACUCAGUGAAAUUUGGGAAACAAACCAACAAAUAAAUAAAUAGUAUGAAACAA